RNAcentral lists this ribosomal RNA (497 nucleotides) under uncultured bacterium. Its description in RNAcentral is "partial 16S ribosomal RNA". It matches the Rfam family "Bacterial small subunit ribosomal RNA", at positions 28 to 507 of the family's 1533-position model. The record is from RNAcentral.
GAUGAACGCUGGCGGCGUGCCUAAUACAUGCAAGUCGAGCGAACAGACGAGGAGCUUGCUCCUCUGACGUUAGCGGCGGACGGGUGAGUAACACGUGGAUAACCUACCUAUAAGACUGGGAUAACUUCGGGAAACCGGAGCUAAUACCGGAUAAUAUAUUGAACCGCAUGGUUCAAUAGUGAAAGACGGUUUUGCUGUCACUUAUAGAUGGAUCCGCGCCGCAUUAGCUAGUUGGUAAGGUAACGGCUUACCAAGGCAGCGAUGCGUAGCCGACCUGAGAGGGUGAUCGGCCACACUGGAACUGAGACACGGUCCAGACUCCUACGGGAGGCAGCAGUAGGGAAUCUUCCGCAAAGGGCGAAAGCUUGACGGAGCAACGCCGCGUGAGUGAUGAAGGUCUUCGGAUCGUAAAACUCUGUUAUUAGGGAAGAACAAAUGUGUAAGUAACUAUGCACGUCUUGACGGUACCUAAUCAGAAAGCCACGGCUAACUACGUG